Molecule: unclassified non-coding RNA, 252 nt
Filed under: Eufriesea mexicana
Lineage: Eukaryota; Metazoa; Arthropoda; Insecta; Hymenoptera; Apidae
Description: n-alpha-acetyltransferase 11, transcript variant X1
Source: RNAcentral
CCAUUGCAAGUCAAGCAUUACGGCUUGAAUGUUUGACAUGUACAUUAUUAUCACGAAAAACUUGCAAACAUUUAGGAUAUUUGUGUUCAUUCAAGCCUUACCUGAGACAUAUGAACUGUUUUAUAUGCCACUACAAAGGGGUGCACUUGUUAAUAAUUAUACGGGGACUAGGAGAGACUUCUAAACUAAUUGAAAGAAGGAGAGAGUCAGAAAGGCUGCGUCUCGAAAGGCGGAAAGUAAAUACUUAAAAAG